Molecule: non-coding RNA, 68 nt
Organism: Cavia porcellus (domestic guinea pig)
Lineage: Eukaryota; Metazoa; Chordata; Mammalia; Rodentia; Caviidae
Source: Rfam
GGAUUUAGCUCAGUGGCAUAAGCACCUGCCUUGCAAGCAGGCAGUCAAGAGUUCGAUCCCUCUUUCCG